Molecule: long non-coding RNA, 477 nt
Organism: Alligator sinensis (Chinese alligator)
Lineage: Eukaryota; Metazoa; Chordata; Crocodylia; Alligatoridae
Exons: 4
Source: RefSeq, a predicted model, not a curated record
AGUAGGGCAGUCAGGCCCUGGCAGAGCUGAGGGAAGCAGCUCCCUACUAUAAGCUGAUGCAGUUAAACUACAAACUGUGAAUAGACCUAAGAGGGCUGGAAUUAGGAUAAACACCAGUGGAGAAUGAAUAGAAGCCUGGGGAGGGCCUGGGGAAAAGACACCCCAGUGGGAAUCAUUUGUUUGGCAAGGAGGAGAGGACUACCCACCAAGGGGCAGCAGACAACAGCAGACUAACCCAGGGCCUGCUACAACAAUAAAUGAGUGAUACACAACUGGUAACAUGCUAAACCAGACAGGUUUUUCAUCAGAAGACCCACAAUUACAAAGCAACGUUCUUCUAUGCUGUAGUCAUCCCUGGCAUGAAAGCCAUAGCAAAACUUUUCAUUUAAUGUCAUUUUGUCAAAAGUGCUUUCUUCAUCAGGAAAAAAAAAGCCUCUCUUUAUGUUUCCUCAAAGAGCACCUAAUCCAAUUUCUCUG